RNAcentral lists this ribosomal RNA (253 nucleotides) under uncultured bacterium. Its description in RNAcentral is "partial 16S ribosomal RNA". It matches the Rfam family "Bacterial small subunit ribosomal RNA", at positions 524 to 776 of the family's 1533-position model. The record is from RNAcentral.
UACAGGGGGGGCAAGCGUUGUCCGGAAUUACUGGGCGUACAGCGCGCGCAGGCGGUCCACUACGUGCCGUGUGACAGACGUCGGCUUAACCGACGUAGGCCAGGGUACACGGGUGAACUUGAGGCAGAGAGAGGGAUGUGGAAUACCCGGUGGAGCGGUGAAAUGCGUAGAGAUCGGGUGGACCACCAGGGGCGAAGGCGGCAUCCUGGCUCUGUACUGACGCUGAGGCGCGAGAGCGUGGGGAGCAAACCGG